GCCUGGCCCUAAAUCUUGAUGCUCGAUAUUACCUGAGCGUCCGCCCGAGAACUACGAGCACAAACGCUUAAAACUCUAAGGACUUGGCGGUGUUCCAAACCCACCUAGAGGAGCCUGUUCUGUAAUCGAUGAUCCACGAUAUUACCUGACCAUUCCUUGCACGAAGCAGCCUAUAUACCGCCGUCGCCAGCCCACCUUCCCUGACAGCCCAACAGUGGACGCAAUAGCCUAACCCGCUAGCAAGACAGGUCAAGGUAUAGCCUAUGGAAUGGAAGCAAUGGGCUACAUUUUCUGAGAUAGAACAUACGGAAAGGGGUAUGAAACUGCCCCUGGAAGGCGGAUUUAGCAGUAAAGAGGGAGACAUCGAGCCCUCUUUAAGACGGCUCUGGAGCACGU
RNAcentral lists this ribosomal RNA (396 nucleotides) under Geokichla citrina innotata. RNAcentral's name for it is "partial 12S ribosomal RNA". It matches the Rfam family "Bacterial small subunit ribosomal RNA", at positions 794 to 1384 of the family's 1533-position model. The record is from RNAcentral. Lineage: Eukaryota; Metazoa; Chordata; Aves; Passeriformes; Turdidae.